Molecule: long non-coding RNA, 2364 nt
Filed under: Mus caroli (Ryukyu mouse)
Lineage: Eukaryota; Metazoa; Chordata; Mammalia; Rodentia; Muridae
Description: RIKEN cDNA 9330154J02 gene (MGP_CAROLIEiJ_G0013870.1)
Source: RNAcentral
NAGGCCAGGAAAGCUGCCGGGGAGGUGGAAGACGAGGGUACCGAAGAGCUGGGGGCCGACGCGGAGACCCAACCCAGCAGCACUAGCGCCAGCCUUGCCAACCGCAGCCGUCCGUCCCCGGCGGAGGGGCCCCGGGAGCCCGCCCCAGGCAUCGCGGCUCGCGGUUCCCCGGAGCUGGGACAGCGCCCGCUCCGAAGACUCGACCGCCUGGGCCCGGCGGGCGCNAGCCGGCCGCAAGCGUCGACGGCAAACUUUCCUCGCGUGGGAGCAGAGGAGGGGACGCCAAAAGCUGGAACUUGGCUAACCCCGAGCCACCGGGCGUCCCCCUCCCGGAGCGGCACCCCGCCCUUCCCUCCAGUGAGUACGCACGGCGGGUCGGGACACGGGCCUUGGCGCUCCUCCUCCCNCCGCAGCUGGGGUGGGUGGCACCUCCUCAACUCCUUUGUUGGCGCCUCUCUCAGGGCAGGAUCGGAUGAGCGACCUGGGACAAGCGGGAGAGAAGCGUGAGGAGCAGUGAUGGCCGCAGCUCCCCGAGUACGAACCAAGUUGUCCCCACACUAGCAACCCGGCCCAAGCUUCUGUGUGCGUCCUUCCUCCCUAGUGGGACGCGGUCCCCACUCCCUAGUGGGACGCGGUCCCCACUCCCAGGCGCUAAGCCUGCCUCUUCCGGGCCCACACCAUCAGGACCCGGGCCACCUCCCGCCUGGCUCCUGCCCNGAUUGCCCUCCUCCCGCCUAGAACUUCACGCAGACCCCGCGGUGUCCAGCGAGCAAACUUCUCCCUUUUCCGGGUCCCAGCUCCUACCGCCCCCGCCGACCACCUGCCUUCCGGGGUCCCCGCCCCCGCUGCUCCUCCCCCUCCCAGGUUGGGAUGUGAGCGAAGUUUCGGGUUACGGGACUCUUUCGAGCUUUUUUUUUUUUUUGGUACCUCCUUGGAUUAGUGUGGAAAGGGGAGCAGAGCCGUACAGCUGUCGCCUACUCUCGACUCCCCAGUUCCUGGCCACCCAGCUCCCCGAUCCCGAGAGGAUCCAGACAUCUCCAGAAAAACGGAGGGAACCCGCCAACAAAGCGGCCGUGGGACCAUGGGCGAUGUGGCAGCCAGGACCCCCCCGCCCCCCCACGGCUCUCUUCACGCCCUAGUAUAGAAAGGAACCCUGGUCCCGCCUCCAGGCUCCAAACCUGGCCGCUCGGUCCCCACUGCUCACCUCCGCACCCCGCGCCUGCAAAGACAACUCCGAGGGCCACCCGAGUCCACGCGCCUUNCCAGCUCCUGCUGCGGGCGCCGACUCUCCUCUCACCCCAGCCCCUGGCCCAACCUCCACGGCUGGGAAAAACCAAGCCGGGGGGCGGGGGAGGGCCAGGGCUGCAGGAGAGAUCGCCGCCGCGCUGGCCACUUCUGCUGCCCCAGGUGGAAGCAGAAGGAACAAAAGUUCCAGCUCACCUUCGGCUACGAGAUGACUUUGAGAUGACCUGGCGAAAGACCCUGUCUUGAAACAAUCCCAGAAAGAAGAGCAGGCUGAGCCAUUGUCAAGACAGCUCAUCAGACAGAUCACUGGAAGAAAAAAACCUAACAACGACGCCCCAAGAAAAGGAAACCACGGAGCGGGACCACAUAUGAUUGUAGAUGUAACAUCCUCCCGUUAAAUUAAACCUAGUCAAACUCAGAGACAAGCAAAAGUGACUGUAAUCCAUGACUAUGCAGGAUUCACAUCUAGGAAUACAAGGAUACUUAAAUGAAAAGAAAUUGACUGAUGCAAUACAAAUUACCAAUGUAAACAAAAGAAAACAAACAGAAACAAAAUAUGGCCAUGCCAUCAGAUGUGGUAGAGUAUUUAGCAAUAUUCACCAUCCACUCUGAUAAAAGAAAACAUCCUACCUAAUAUAAACGAAAGAAGUCCCCAUUCUGGUUAAGAGUACCAGAAACCAAGCUAAUACCACAAAGAGCACACCUACAAUGACAUGUAAUGGCAGAAGAUAUGAUUUCCUAUUAAGACAUUAUAUUGAUGAUGCACAGGGGAAAAUAUGCUGCAGCNUUAAACAUUCAUAAAAUGAAAAGUUAUAUUUUUAAUUUCUUGUGAUUUUUUUUUACAUAAUAAAAAGUCAUAUUGUCAGAGAAUAGAGUUGGUCUGUCUACUCCUUCCUAGUCUGACUGCCUUANNUUCUUGCCUGAUUGUCUUAUGUGGCGUGCCCAAUACAAUCUUGAAAAAGAGCUAGGUAAGAGCAGAUAUCCUUGUUUUGGUAUUUACUAUCAUGUGAAACCAUUCUGUCUUUAAGCAUUAAAUGUUAUCUUAGCUGUGGAGUUUUACUUCUUGCUGCUAUUACUGUUUUUGUAUAUAUCAAUUUAAUAGAAUUUCAUUGACACACU